UGUGGGGAAAGCAUGGCUGUGAGUUAUGAACAGCAUCUGAAACCGAAGAUUCUGGAGCACGGAAUUCUGAUAGUUUUUAGGACAGCCAUCAUUUGGACAUCACUGGAAUAAUAUCCAUGAAAAUUUAUGAGCUUAUACUGCAUACUGCCUAAACCAACAAUCUACUAUUAAUUCUGCCGUCAUUAGCUCAAGACAUGACAUCCCCACCUGAAGGCAUUAGAGGGGGGAAAGUGACAGUAGGCCUCAAGAUGGCCCUCCCAAGCCACUUCCAUAUGGGAUGCCUGAGGAGUGUUGUGCUAUCAAAAUCCCUAUUCUGCAGUCUUCGGGCUUCCUCACAGAAAGAAUGAACUUACCAUUACAUUAUUAACUUCUAGUAUGGCACAGUACUUAAGAGAUUGCAUUCUGAAUCAGAGAGGCCUGAGCUAAAAUCCUGGGCUCCACCAGUUAGCAGCUGUGUGUCCUUGAGUAAGUCAACUAACUCCACGUUUCAAUGACCUCUUCUAGAGCAUGAAGAUAAAAAUAGAGCCAAUCUCACUUACUGUUUUUGAGAGGAUUAGAUGUAUAAUACAUCUAAAUGCUGGUUACUUUUAUAUUAUGCUUAAAUUCUUCACUUUGAAUGAAGCCAUCACAUAUCAAAUUUAAAUAUCCUUAGUGCUUACAGAAGACUGACCUUUCUCAUCUUCUCAUAUUAAAAAAAGGUCAAAGUCAGUCUACAAGUCUUUAAAAUUCUUUACAUAAUCGAUUAAAAAAAAGGAGUCCCCCACCCCAAUCUACAGCCUGAAAAUAAAGCCUCCAAAAUGAAAGCCGCUGGAAAUGUUUUGACAUAAGCAGGAUGUAGGAAAAGCGUGUUUCAUUAUCACAUAACUCACAGGAUCCACCUACGCUUCUUGAAACUGGAACAAUUUUUAGAGAAAAUGUUGAUUCUAUAGUUUAAAUUUAGGUUGUUCCGCUACCCAACCCCCUGUUGAAAAUUCUUGAGCUUAUCUACACAAAGCCUGAACUUGGUGCUCCAAAGCUUAGUGGAGGGAAGAGGGCCCUCAUUCCAAACACCCCCCACCCCUCAGACUGCCUCCCACAACUACAGCUUAGGAACGGCCAAAAUGUAGUCAGGAGCACUAUUUGUAAAAAGGAUGGUAUGUGGUACUAUUAUUGUUAUUCGGUCCCUCUCCCUUACCCAUUUCUAAUUCGUAGAAGUAUAUUCCCAGCUACUAAAGUGAUCACCAGGAACUCUGUGUCUAGAUUAUAAUUUUAGUGUGCUAAAAUGAAAAUAAAAGAAAAUCAAAAAGUAUUCAUGUUAGACCAGGCACAGUGGCUCCCACCUGUAAUUCUAGAGCUCUGGGAGGAUGCAGCAGGUGGAUUGCUUGAGCUCAGGAGUUCAAGACCAUCCUGAGCAAGAGGGAGAGACCCUGUCUCGUACUAAAAAUAGAAAAAUCAGCCAGGUGUUGCAGUAAGUGUCUCUAUAGUCCCAACUACUUGGGAGACUGAAGCAAGAGGAUCGCUUGAGUCUAGGAGUUUGAGGUUGCGGCGAGCUUUGACUCAGUAGAGCCUUGAUACUCAGGGUGACAGAGUGAGCCUUUGUCUCAAAAAAAAAAAAAAAAAAAGAGUAUGCAUGUUUCAGUCAUAACUAAAAUAGUAGCAAAUAAAAUGUAAUAUUCACUUGAAUUUGAAAAUACUUUUUCUUAAUACUCCGAAGAGAAAUCCUUCUUCAAACUCACUGGUGUCGCCCUCAUGUCGAGACUCUUUUAGUAUUUCCACUGUUUAACUUCUGUGGUUGCCUGUACAGUGUUACAGGACUAUUAACUUCUUCCAGAGAGUGGGUUCUUUAGUUUCUAUCUUAUCUGUUAAGAACGAACCAAGUCUAAAGAUAGUCAACAUUCUUGACAUUCUCUCCAUGAUGGAGCAACCACACUGGUAAGUGCCCUUCAAGCAUAGCUCUUGGUGCCAGAGUUAAAAUGAAAAAUAAUCACACACACGAAAAGCAAACCAACAAAUAAAACAAAAGGAAAAGACAGAAAAGGAGCUUCCACCAGAGAAGCACCAUAGUCUCAAGUUGCACUUCUUUCAUACGUUUAACGGGAACAACACUUAAACUCAAUUUUAAAAACAUGAACUAAGGAGCUCUAAAAAGACUUAUGUGGCCAGUUUGUAUUGAUUUUUAAAAUACAGUUUAUAAAUUCUUUUUAAGCAAGUUGAGUAUCAUUAAAAUAUUUAAAUAAAUGAAAAAUCAAGAGUUAAACCCCUCACCCUCACCAUCUGCAUGCUUUGAUUAUGUGCAGACUUCCCAUAUUUUCCACUCCAAAAGAAAUGACUGGGGCAGCCAGGCCUUGGAUGUGGCCUUAUUUAUAAAAUAAAUGUCUUGUCCACAGCUUUGCAGCCAUCAGAUGGUAAAGUUCGCUGGGAAUGAAUGUAGCUUCCCUAAUAACUCUCCCUUUCUUCAUCCCGUCAUGUUAUAGAAGGCAUCGUUUUAAAUGAGGCAUGGAAGUCUUAAAAGACAUGGAAAAGUAUUAAUAGGUGAAACUGAUUUUUCUUCAAAACUUUAAUUUUUUCACUUGACAAUGUUUGUCCAAAAGAACCAGGCAGCUUAUACAUUUUGAUAUAAGACAUUUAAUAUCAGCUUAUCCUGGUGGGAACAAAAUAUGACUUAAGUCCCUAUCAGUCUCAGCUACCAUGGUUUCAAAGCUGAAAAAGUUGAUGGUGAUGGAAAAAGUCCAUGGGGGUGGGGAAAAUGGGUUAAGACAACAUUUGCUUUUGGAUUUCUUUUAAAAGCAUUUAGGAAAAGGGUCAUGAGAAGGGGAAAUGAAGCUUCCUCAGUCAGCCUCAGUGACCUUCCUGGUUUGGGCAAUGGCCACAUCAAUUCCUACCCUUCCAAUUAGAAAAUCCCAAUUAUUUCCCACUCCCAGGAGUGAGCACCAUGCAAUGCCACCCCUGGAGCAUCGAUAACAAAGGUACAAUGGGGGGCCUCAACAGGUUACGCCACUUUCAGAAAGACCACUUGUGAAAUGACGUGAGUUGGGCGACAGGUUUCUCUUUUUCUUUCCACUCUAAUUUAGGAACUGGAAAGUCAUGACAAGGGCAGGGCGUGCCCACUGCGACACAGUGUAAGACAGUGUCAGGAUUUCACCUUGUGCUUCACAGGGAUUCCAUUCUCUCCAUGAGCAACUACGAAUUUUGCUACUAUUUUAUCUGAGCAGCAGAAGAUGGUGCCCAAGAGGUGAGAAAAUCCUUGACAGCAGGAACCAGGGUUAAAACAUGUAAUAAGACUCACUCAUUUAAAAGCAUAUACUGAAUCUCACAAUGAGAGAGAGACACCCCUAAGAUUUACUAGAGCUGAAGAUGCUCCUUCGAUAGUAAUUAACUGUUUAGAGAGGUCUGAGGAGGGACAGAUAUGACAUCCCAAAAUAAGUAGGAAAAAAAAAAAGAACCAAGUCUUGCUUUAGGAAAGAAGGUUCCAUCCCGGAGGUACAUUGCUUGAGGUCUGCACAAGCUGAAGCCGAGGGUCUUCAUACCCAUCCUAACCACUAACCUCUAAUGGACAAGGUUCAAAGGCUUUCUCAACUGUGCAUUACGGAUAUUCUGGCCAGAGUUCCCACCCCGUCAUCGCACAUUGUCCUGUGGCCAGGAGGGACCUCAGAAAACCUCAGAAUUCUGAAAUUCUUCCUGAAAAAGUCUAGAGGUUAUGAAUUUGAGAUUCCUACUCCUUUUAGGCAGGUCUGUUGAUGGCGCUUUUAACAGCUCCAAGGCAUUCUAGUGUUACCGUAUGUCAGCUACAUGACCUUGAACAUUCAGCCCCGUUCCUUAUCCCUUGAGUGGCAAUUAUACUUGAUCUAACUAAUAAAGAACCUUAGAGAAGGCAUUUUGAUAUCUGAUUAGUCAAGGAACCAUCAAAUCUGAAAACAAAACACCUAAAAACCAUACUAUUUUCAAAACCCACAAACAAAAAGCUUUUUUUUUUUUUUUUGUAGAGACAAAGUCUCACUUUAUGGCCCUCGGUAGAGUGCCAUGGCAUCACACAGCUCACAGCAACCUCCAACUCCUGGGCUUAAGUGAUUCUCUUGCCUCAGCCUCCCGAGUAGCUGGGACUACAGGCGUCCGCCACAACGCCCAGCUAUUUUUUGGUUGCAGUUCAGCCGGGGCCGGGUUUGAACCCGCCACCCUCAGUAUAUGGGGCCGGCGCCUUUACGGACUGAGCCACAGGUUCCGCCCAACAAAAAGCUUUUGAUUAGCAAAAAAGGCCAUAAGUAUGGCAAAAAUAACUGCCCCAAAUGCAGAAGAUUAUAUGCAGAAAAGGCACCUCUGGACUCAACUUGGCAGGUCUUGCUCACAAGCUUUGCAGCUAUCAAUGUAAAGGUGGGCAGGAAUCUCCGAUUCCCUAACAAGUCCCUGUUCCUCAUCACUUCAUGUGACACAAGGCAUAGUUUUAAAUGGCUGCCCAGAGGUCCUGUAGUCUGGGCUAUCCUUAAUGUCAAAGGCAAAGGGAGGUACUUUCUAAUUUUCCUAGAUUAUAUAUUAAAUCAAACAAAACUGUGCGUGUAAGGAUAUUCUACAAGGUGCUACAUGAAGGUUAUGAUUAUAAUUUGGUUUUGAUUAACAUACACCUUACUGCCAUUUUUAAUUUCCUAUGAAAACUCUUCACAUCUUAACGGAAAAAAGUUUAUUUGGAGUUACUGUUCAUUUCAUUUUAUUAAUAAUAGUCAAAAAAAUGAUCAAGCCCAGUUCAUUAUAGCUCCAUUUGCUCCUAAAUGACUAAGUGGUUUAGUUAGACAUACAAGGACUUUUAUAACCAGGGAUCUGAAGGCUAAGAGACGCUGGUAGGGCUGAGAGAGGACACACACUCACGGCUAUGCUCCGGCCUCGAGGCAACACUCCAUGCAGGAGCAGGUCUCUGCAGAGGAGGUGACCCUGAGGGACCACCAUUUGCCUUCUUUCACUCACCCUAAUAUGCAUUCUGGAGACUAUAACCCUGCAAGGCCAGAGCAGUAGAUACCUCUGUGCGCCCAGUUCGUAUCUCCACACUUGGGUGGCAGCCCAUCAGCUAGCAGGGUACAAAGAGAACUAGCCGGCAGGCUCCCUCCCCAGGUGCAGAAGGAACACAAGUAACCUUCCCUCCAAUCUGCCUGCAUGUUAAUUCUUAAUGAACAUGCCAGCCUACCUACCUGCAAUAGCUAGUAUAUAUCUAUGACCAUUCAAAACUUACAAUUUUAAAAUGUGUAAAAGAACCAACACCCUUUAGAUUUGCCCUCUCUUAAAAAAAUGUACUUUGUCCAAUGACAAACAGAUAAAAAAGUUUAGUUUUUCGAAUAGGAUACUUUACAUUAGGUUCCUGGGUUAUGAAGAAUUAAAAUUUUCUGCUUAUUUCUUAAUUCUCUCUGCUUGGUAUCCUCCUUAGCCUGUCUUUUUUGUUUGUUUUUUUUCCAUUUGGUUAGAUCACUCUGGCUCGAGAGACAACAGAUUAAUAACCACACGAAUGUUACAAGGGAACCAAAUCAACUCUCACUGAAGUCCUGAGCAUUCUGAAGCUGAGGCUCGGAAGCAAAAUGACUGCCAGGCUGAAGAGGAUCAAAGCUCCCAAAGCCCUAGAGAAAUGUCACAAGUUGAAAUAACAAUAACAAUAAUAAUAAAUGGUGCCAUGGAAGCAUCACACAGAGGAUUAAGGGUAGGGAACCCCACAAAUAGAGAUAAGGAGAUAAACACCCAACUGCUUUAGGGCUCUGCUCUCACCUUGAGAUCAGGUCAGAAGGAGAAGUCAAACCCCAGAACUCACUAAUCCACCAAGCCUGAGAAUCAGGAGUCCCAAAGACAAAGCCCAAGCCGCCCUGAACCAACUUGUCACAUCACCAAAAUAGCCAGCAGCUGUCACUGAAUGGGUCUGAUAGAACCAGAUAAAGAAAUAAUGUUCAGACGUAUUUCACUGUGAAGUCACACACACACACCAAAAAACCCUAAGGCGUGAGGUCUAUGGGUCAGAAAUCCCUUUGCUGGGGACCCACAUGAAACCAAACCAGAGAGAAAAGUAAAGGGUAAGGCACCUCACUAACAGAAUCUGCUAAUCUAAACAUCAAAUACAUGUGAAGAACUUCUUGUGGAUUCCUGACAACAGAUUUCAGCACAGCUAAUGAGGUGAGUCAUAUGCAAAGAACAGUCUCUGACUCUUGCCAAAGAACACACUUCCUCUCAUACACUCAAUUCAUAGCAAUGUGAGAAAGUUCAGACCUGACUCGGUUACAUACCCUUUUCUAAAAAUAUAUAAAUGAAGGAGAGUUUUUAAAAUGAGUUAGUAGAUUCUAAAGUCCUCUCUACUUUACAUUAUCACUUACUGGACAUGUAUUGUUCAACAUAAUUUAGAACUGGGCAGCUCUGGCAGGGAUGGGAAACAUUCUGCCCAGUGUUUUGCUGUCCAAACCCAGCCACUCUGAUUACUGUGAGCCCAUCUGAUCUGACACUCUUGUUUCUUCUUCGGGCCUGCGGGCUGGCAGGGAGCCCUGGGCAUCUAGCAGAAGGCAGCACAGCACAAAUAUUCAAGCUCCUUCUUGUCACCUAAGGUUGAAAAGUCCAUUCUGGUUUGCAAGAUUUAAAAAAUGUAUACAUGAUUAUCAACCACGACAAAGUCCUUUACCUGGAAAGUGAAAGCAGAGAAAAAUUCUAAAAUGCUAUUAAAUAGAUUUGCUUCUUGAGCAAACGUAACAGUUGUCAGCAGUAUCAAUUACUGGACACUUCCACUUGGCUUUCCUAUGAAGGGCAAUUUUAACAAUCUGUAAUUUUACAAUCUGUAAUGUGUUUUUCAGGAUAGAAGAAAAACUGUUCCCUAGUUUUUAAAAGGGUUUAUCGAUGAACAGCAAACUCAGUUUGCAAGGAUUUGAUCUUCUCUCCGCUUUAAUUACUGUACCUUUGUAAGCCCCAACCACAGCCACCAAUUAGGUGGCCCCUGCAGAACGCCGCACAAACAGAACAUGGAUUAGCCACUCGCUCCUCAGCGUGAGCAUCCUACCCAGGGCCAGGUGACAAACUGAAGCUUCCAGGCUUUUUUAAUUCUUUUUAAAUCUGUUUAAGUGAAGACUCUGAUUUUAUUUACUUUCCCAAAUAGAAUCCUUCAACGCUAUUUGACUUAAAGCCUUUCUCAUCCUUAAGUUUAGACAUAAUUUAAUGAACAGAGCCUGACUAGAACGGAAAGUCACAUCUUUUCAUUUAUUGCUAAAAUAAUCAGAAAACAAUGAUUUUGAAGGGGACUAGAAAGGAGAUGGGCAGAUGCCAAGUCCAAUGUGCUUUUAACAUGUUGAAUUCACUAUUAUUUUUAAAUGCAAUUUAGAGAUAACACUCCUAGGAAUCUGUGUAUUGUAAGUGUUAGCCCUCGUCUGGAUAAACAUCGCCCUGAAUUUUUUUCUUGUGGUUGGUUUUUGGGCUCUUUGGUUUAGUUCUCUCUCUCUCUGUCUCCUGGAUUUAUGAUGCAGGCCUACCUCUUUCCUACCCUCCUACCCAGAGGUGAGUCACUAUAGUGUUACAAACUUACUGGGAAAGAACACUACAAAUUAACCAACAGCAAGUUACCCAGAGGGGAUACACCCACGGAAGAGGGUACAGAAAGAACCAAGAGGCAGGUGAUUGUUACACUCUAAGGCAGGCACAGGGCCAGGCAACCGUGAGGCGGCUUCUCUGCCCCCCAGUGGUGGGUGCUAGUUCCUCCUGUAGCUAUUCCAUUUGCCCAUGGCCAGGCCCGGGCAAUUUUCCACUCUGAGAACUCUGCCUUACAAUCUUUUAGGUCUAAAGUACUAGCUUUAUAGCAGCCAGAGGAUAUUUAGUCACACUUUCAAGUUGAGCUCCAAAAGGGCAGCUGAUAACGUUACCCUACAACUGGGAUUUCUGCUGACCUGUGUAUCCCUUGUGCAACCUUCACCUGAACCUUUUUUCCCUAACCCUCUUUAAAUCACUUUUCUCAUAAGCUAUGAUUUUUUUUUACUAGGUAACUAAGUUUAACGUUAAACCAAAUCUGGAACUAUAGUGAAAGAUUGGGUGAGACCCUCUCACUUUCAUCUUUCAGUAUAAACUUAAGAAAACAGAAAGUUUCUUGCCUUUCUAAACAGUUACGGUGUAUACCGUUGGUGAAAUAAGCAAUCGUGGGCGGUAGGCCUAGCUGAAGAUUUAUGCCCCAAGUCACCAGGCAAAAAUACUCAGUAAGAAAAAGCAGGACAAAAUCCCGUUUCAUCCAGGAAUGAUUCAGCAAGAGCUGUUCUUUCAUUUUCUUACAAUGCUUAGGAACUAGACUUUUAAGGACAUAGAAAAUCACCUGAAACAUCAUCAAAACCUAGGCCACAAAUGGUACUAAGAAGGGAAGAAAUUAACAAUGACCUUAAAAAAAGCUGCCGGCACAGGCUUCCUGGUUAACCAAUUAUCAGCAGGGCUUUAGUCACCACUCCACCCACAUUUUAAUCCCCCUGUGGAAAAAUCCCAACAUUUGAGCAUGAAAUAUUCUUCUGAACAUUUUGGACUAUCACAGUAAGUCACUGAGGUAGACAAUACAGGCACACACCCAUGCAAUGUAAUGUUCAAUGCAUCAGAGCACUCAAAAUAACCAGCAGACAAGUACUAUACCAUCCUGUGCUAACCAGCUGUAAAUUCAUCUUGUGUUUGCUAACUACUAGAUACUUUUAGGACCUGUGAGAUGUCUGGGUUGAACCUUUAGGAACUAUUCAGGUGCGUUACUAUUGUACCACUGCUGUGCAUAGGUAUCUGUGGUUCUAAUAGAGAUAUCUAGAUGUACGCACAUAGCUUAGUUACCCAGUAUCUCCAGCGCCUAUUAAUUCAACAUUGCAAAUGCCCCAGUUUCAACCCAAGAGUAACUUCACAGCUCAGUAUACAAGGUUAACAUUAAACAUUCAGGCUCAGGAGACCACAAGCUGUUCAGGAAAUCAGGGAUGGCUGGUUUGUCACCUGCCAAUCAUUUGACCUUGAGCAAGUCACUUCACCUUCCCAGGCCUCAGGUAUACAUCUAUGAUCUCUCUUUCACCCCAAAUCAGUAAUAUCUCUGCUCAGGAAAUAAACUGUGUUUUUUGUUUCUUUUUUUUUGGGGGGGGGGCGGGGGCGGUUAAGAGAAAAAAGAUUCAGCUUAAAAGAGCUCGUUUAUGGGAAUGACCCAGGGUUUCAUGGUGGUGUACAAGCACAGGCCACUACCCUGGUCUCCCACAUCUGGCUCUCAGCUCUUUGCUUUGAAGCUUUUCACUGCAACCAGCCCUCCUCAGCCCAUGUUUUCAAAGGCCAUACAAGUUGUGUGUUCUCACUUGUCCCUAUUCUCUCCAUCAGGUCCAAGCCUUUCAAUUACCUCCUUCAAAACCCAUUUAGAGUCCCAAAAGAACGCAGCCUGUCUCUGCUGCUGCCAUCACUCUGUCCCCACCAGGAGCCUUAGGACCUCCAAAGUGCUGCAGGGUGUUCACACUGCGCUAAGCCCUGGAGAUGACGGAGUGGACUCGCUCCACCUGUCUGCUCAUGACCUGGUCAUUUUCAUCCCAUGAAUUUUUUUGGUUAUUUUGUGUAAAUUUUUCUCAACUAGACUUUGGCUCCGUUGGGGUCCGGGACCCAGCCUCCUGCAGUGGCUAUAGGUACUCAGAGCUUCACUACAGAAGCCUAAGAACAAGGCAUCUUCUCGGUAUCCCUACAGCGCUCCGCGCCACUCUCCUGCCCGGAGACCCCUCGUUUCCUUCGGGGACCGCUCUAUGGUGAGUCCGGGCGCUGGAAAUCAGCAGGACAUUUCCUACACCCGAGGAUCGUCCACAGCCUCCAGUCCUCUUUCGGGGUUAUUGUACCCAGAGGCCCUAACGGGUCUGUCCUCCUUUCACGUUCGUCCCUCCAAAAAUCCUGCACGCUCCUCCCCACCGUCAAGAUGACAAUUCCCGUGGCGACAGGCGCUUCGAGCGUUUACGGGAAGAGGCCCACGAAAGCUCUCGAAAGUAUACCUUAAAGGCCAUCUUAGGGCGGCGAAGGCACACCCUUUCUGGCACCAGCCUGCUGGGCCGGCUCCGCAGUAAGGGGAAGCCAGUUUUUGCUUUAGGGGAGGGCGGCCGUCUCUGCGGGGAGCCGAUUAAGUCCCGGCGCCUCCGGGAGAAGCGGCCUCGACCCGGAGGCUGCCCCCGCCGGCGCCGGGGCCGGGGCCGCGGCGGGAACGGCAGCCCGUGGCGGCCUCGGCGGGAACGGCAGCCCGGGAGGGGCCCCGGCGGAGCGCCCCAGGGGAAGGGGAGGAGCGCGCCUUUCCUCCGGCUCGGAGGGAGGAGGCAAAAAGGAAGGAGAAGGAAGAUAAGUGUGUUUUGGGAGUGGAGACUGCAAGAUUAGCUAGGGUGGAGCAGGGAGAAAACAACUACCUUCCCUUCAGCCUGCCCAGGAAGCCUAAGGGAAGAGGGGGUGUUUCCGGAGAUGUUGGAACAAUGGGAGAAGGAUGCUUGGCAGAGGGCAGGGGCAGAGAACCAGCCAGGUGGCCAUCAGCUCCCAAGAGAGAUUACAGCAUCCUGGAUCCCGAUAGAUGUUAGAAGAUGAAAACACAAAGAAAUAAAAAUCUGAGGUAUACCUCUUCAGAUCUACUUUUUUAUUAAACCCCUAUGCCUUGGAACGAACACAGCAGACUCUCAGAGCCUUGAGAUACCCGUAAUUAAACUGUGUCCCUCUACACAGUGGAGAUGAGCAGUUCUUUAGGAGAUCUGUGGGUUGAGGCCUACGGGGUGGGCUCCACACGUGUGAUCCAGGAGAGUAGUGAGCUUCUGGCUGUGACUCUCACCUGCCAGCCUAGCCCCAAACAGUUCUGAAAGUCACCACAUUUCUCUCAACAGGAGCCAAGACAGAAUGUUGGAAAGAGGCAUGCGGGCUAAUUUGCAAUAUUUCAGCAUCAGGGAAGAUAUAAAUGCGGCAUUUUCUGAGUUGCAACAUGCUCUGACUCAGCUCUUUGCUAGUGUGGAUUUGUAUUCACCUGUUAUUAAUUUUGUCUCUGCCUCACCCUGGGCAUUGAAGGGUUUGGGACUUCUGCCAAAACACCUAGAUAAGAGUUUUCCUGCCAAGAAACCAUCGUGUGUAUAAACAGUACCACCACCCAAACACAAAGGGGCCAGCCACACUUACGUGUUUGAGAAAUCACUUGCCCCUCAGAGAACUUUACUGUCAGCUGAGAAAGUGGACCACGGUCAGUCCCUCUGUGACCAUGUAGCUCCCCUGGUUCCAUGUCCUCAGGCUGCUCAGCCCUGACGCCAGCCAGACUUAUGCAGUCAGUCUUCAAGCGAAUAUGGGAGAGAAGAGCAUGGAGAAGAAUCAUUAUUUUUUUUGCUACUGGAAAAGCCCCUGCACAUGUCCAGCCAGUGAAAUCUUCCCUCUGUAUUCACCAUCUUAAAGAUCACCGCGUGUGAACUGGCUGGCUCGGAGCUUCCUACAAGUUUGAGCUGCUCAAUAAUCGUCUCUGAAUUUGCCCUUCCUGCUGCUUCUACAGAGAGUUCACGUGCAGUGGCGGGCUCCUCAUUCUAUAGCAUCUGCACUUCAUGUCUGUACCUCUCUCAUCAAGGACCACUCAGAGCUGUCACUACCCGGGUGCAUGCAUUCGGUAGUUCUGUGCACCAGGCUCUGUGCUUUCCACAUACUGUGUAAUUUCAUCCUGCGUCUCUCACACACACACACACACACACACACACACACACACACACUAACCCUAAAUGGCCAGCAUUAUUGCUGUUGUACAGAUAAGACCUGGGAGACACAAGAGUCUAAGUAAUUUGCCUGAGGUCACCUGACUUGCAGAUGGUGGAGGAAGGAGUUAAGGCCACAUCGGCGGCCCUGAAUCCCACACCGGUAUCCUGUCUGUUUCUACAUCUCCCCCAAACAGAGGUCUCUGUGUCUCUCUGCCAAGCGAGAAAACGCCUCAUCCAUUCAUUAAAUGUUUGCUGAUCAUCUGCUGUGGUACAGGCAAUAUCUUAGCUCAGGAAUUGUUGAAUUUUUCUCUAUCAAAGACCAGACAAUAAAUAUUUUCACUUUCAUGGACCAUGUGGUCAGUCACUACUCAGCUCUGCUGUCGUAGUGUGAAAUCUCAACAGCAUCCAUGGCUAAUCUGUAAAUUAAUGAACUUGACUAUGUUCCAAUAAAGUGUCAUUUCCAAAAGGAGGCCGUGAGCUGGGUUUGGCCCAUGAGCUGAACCCUUCUGCUCUAGGCACUGGGGUCAUGAUAGAAGGAAAAAAAAAAAUCCACAAAAAUGCUUGCCCUUGUGGAGCUUAUACCAGAAAGGAGAAACAAUUAUAUUUCUUGGUUUAUCCCAUAAAAACUGUCAUAAAACCUAGGAGUUGCUGAGCACUCCGGAAGUGCAAAUCAGGGUCAGUCCUCUUGUAGCUCUCUUGGCUGGAGGGUGUUUGUUCUGUGUGAACAGAUCCCGUGUCACCCCACCCCGGAGGACCCACCUUUCCUUCUCUGCCUUCUUAUUGGUUUGACUCUGUCAUCCAGCUCUGUACUGAGGGCAGAGGGCCUCAGAUUUUAGGGCAUCAAAAUCAUCCAGGGACACAUGCUCACAAAGGAAGGACCACGGCGCCCACAGGGAGGCAGCCGUGCAGGACAAACCAAACUGCCCAUACUUUGAUCUUAGAGGUCCAGCCUCAGAAAACUGUGAGAAAAUUAUAAAUUUAUGUUAAGCCACCAAAAAAAAAAAAAAAAAAUCAAAUCCAUAACAGUUUAAUGGGCCUCAUUCUAGAGAGUCUGAUUCAGUAGGUUUAUGGUGAAGCCCACGAUUUUCCAUUUCUUAUUUAUUUAUUUAAGACAGUCUCACUCUGUUGCCCUCGGUAGAGUGCUAUGGCGUCAUAGCUCACAGCAACCUGAAGCUCCUGGGUUUGUGUGAUCCUCUUGCCUCAGGCUCCUGAGUAGCUGGAACUACAGGUGCUGAUGAUAAUGCCCAGCUAGUUUUUCUAUUUUUAGUAGAGAUGGGAUCUCACUCUUGCUAGGGUGGUCUCAAACUCCUGAGCUCAAGCGAUCCACCCAAUUCAGCCUCCCAGGAGGCUGGGAUUAGAGGCCUGAACAACCGUGCCGACCCUGAAAUUUUCCAUUUCUAACAAUUUUCCAGACACUCCCUGUGCUGCUGUUCCCUGGACCACACUCUGAGACCCAGUGAUCUCUGGGAAGAGCAGGUGAGUCUAACAGACACUGUUAGAUAGUCUGUCAGAUAUUUCGUCCUUGGUGUCACGUAACCCUUAAUUCUUCUUCAGGUAAAACCCUCCUGGCCCUUUAACAGAUCCACAUAUGAGAAAUGACAAACUCUGCUGCCACUAGUUGGGCUGCAUACCUAGGAUACAAUAUUGACAGCCACAAAGAAGUCACUGCAAUUAUACACAAACAGUGAGGAACAUCGUGUACAGUUGCACUCCUCGGACCAAAGGGCAAGACCCAGGCCCAGGCUGAGACUGUGGGAAAGAACACUGUGAUAACAGCCUACAAGAGGAUACCGGUCUCUCUUUCACAUGUGACUUUGGGCAAGUCCUUAUCCCUCUCCAGCUCUCAGCUUUCCUAUCUGGUGCAUGAAAAUUGGCCAACGUCCUUCUAUUAAUGGGAAUUCUGAUAUUCUUUAGUAGGUGGGGAAAUCUCAAUAGACACCCUACCACCUCCCUCCUGGAGGCAUCUCGGGGACAUUUCCCACGUGCAGCCAUCCACAAGACCUGCCCCUUAUGUCCACAGUACAUGUAGUCCUGUUUUCUCCCAAGAGUUGCUUUGCAUUUACUGAGUUUGUGUUCUGGCGUGAUGUGCUACGUCAUUGGCUUACAUCAAUUAAUUUUCUCUCCUUUGCUCCAGAUAUGGAAGCAGAAUACUGUUUGGGGGCCCAAUGCCAAUCUCCUUUUCCUGCCUCCUGGCCCUGGGAGGUAAAUCCUCUGUGUUCCCGGACUUCUGUGGGGACCCACAGCUGGGCAGCCCCAGGGCCACCUGAGGUGGCUAAAGACUCUCCUUCCACCCUGAGGUCCAAGCCUCAGCCGCAAAGCAAAAGAUCCCUGGUUCCUGGCACAUGGCCUUUGAAAGUUAAACUGUCAUCCACCCCUUGGUCUGAUCAAGCAGCUCACCAGCCCUUGAGUUUAAAUAACAACCACAAAACAAACAGCGCUGAAGGCUCCCAGCAAGGUUUCUUUAGCCCAGGAGAAUGCUGCCUUCAGUUUCUGGGCAAUAUUGUGAAACAGGGUCAUUUCUUUUCCUGUGAAAAGCUGGUCAUGAUAUUUUCCAUAAGGAGAAUUAAUCUGGCAGGAGAGUAUGGACAAACAAGGCAGCGAGCUAUCUCCAAUUACUUCCGGAAGAAAGGGCAGGAAAUCUUCCUAAAUCGUCGGAUCCUGCCGUCGGACCACCACAGGGUUUUACCCUGGCCGUGCUGUUUUCUUGCUGGGAGCCCCUGGCCAGUUGCUGCAUCCCUCACAGCCUCUGGUUUUCCUAAGUGAGGAUGAUUAUACCUACUUGCCCAGAAGUGACGGUGAAGGGAGGUCAUAUACAUGAUUGUGUUCAACAUAUUGAUGUUAAUAUUAUCUACAUAGUUGUUCCAAAAUAUUAACUCAAUGGUUUAAUGUAUAAUAAGCCUUCAAUAAAUGUCAUGUGGUUAAGUCAGA
This is a long non-coding RNA of Nycticebus coucang (slow loris), 14576 nucleotides long. RefSeq lists it as uncharacterized. The record is from RefSeq and is a predicted model, not a curated record. The transcript is spliced from 4 exons. NCBI's taxonomy places the organism in Eukaryota, Metazoa, Chordata, Mammalia, Primates, Lorisidae.